GACCUGCGGAAGGAUCAUUAUUGAAUUUUAAAAUGAGUGGGGUUGUUGCUGGCCUAUAAUGGGCAUGUGCACGCCUCAUUUUAUCCAACCUUUACCCCACCUGUGCACUUUCUCAUGGGCUGGAUAUUUGCAAAGUUGUUCUUAAUUGAGCAAUGGAAGUGAUGUUUAUCCCAUGUGUUUUUAAUACAAUAUACAUAUUUGUUAUAGAAUGUAAACAUGCAGUGCAUUCAAUGCAUAUAAUAUAACUUUCAGCAACGGAUCUCUUGGCUCUCGCAUCGAUGAAGAACGCAGCGAAAUGCGAUAAGUAAUGUGAAUUGCAGAAUUCAGUGAAUCAUCGAAUCUUUGAACGCACCUUGCGCUCCUUGGUAUUCCGAGGAGCAUGCCUGUUUGAGUGUCAUGGUAAUUCUCACUUCAUUUAUGUUUUUGCAUAUUUUGAAGUGGAUGUGGAGGGUUGUGCUGGCAUCUUGCAAAUGGUUUUUCUGUUUUCAAGAAAAUCUGGCUCCUCUGAAAUGCAUUAGCUUGAAUGUUGACCAAGCGUGAUAUCUCAGCGUGAUAAUUUGUCUGCGUUGUGAAUGUGUUGGUCUAUAUGUUAAAAUAUAGCAUUUAAGCUUCCAAUGGUCUUUUUUUAUUAAGACAGCAAUCAUAACUGAUAAUAGUUUAUGAACAUUUGACCUCAAAUCAGGUAGGACUACCCGCUGAACUUAAGCAUAUCAA
RNAcentral lists this ribosomal RNA (714 nucleotides) under Loweomyces fractipes. RNAcentral's name for it is "eukaryotic LSU rRNA". The stretch from base 244 to 397 matches the Rfam family "5.8S ribosomal RNA". Lineage: Eukaryota; Fungi; Basidiomycota; Agaricomycetes; Polyporales; Steccherinaceae. The record is from RNAcentral.